UUGUGAUUGGUUAAAUGCCGUCACGUGGUGACCCUCUACGGUCUCAUAGAGGGUCACCACGUGACGGCAUUUAACCAAUCACAA
RNAcentral lists this small RNA (84 nucleotides) under Mytilus galloprovincialis (Mediterranean mussel). The record is from RNAcentral. Lineage: Eukaryota; Metazoa; Mollusca; Bivalvia; Mytilida; Mytilidae.